This is an RNA transcript of Nomascus leucogenys (northern white-cheeked gibbon), 6887 nucleotides long. It is a transcript of the gene named protein FAM156A/FAM156B, with no coding region annotated. The transcript has 4 exons. NCBI's taxonomy places the organism in Eukaryota, Metazoa, Chordata, Mammalia, Primates, Hylobatidae. The record is from RefSeq and is a predicted model, not a curated record.
ACAAAUUAAGGGGACCUUUAUUAGCCAGCGACCUAGAGGCAGCUAACGCUCAAAAUUCUCUUGGCCCUGAGGAAGGAGCUAGUUUUGUUUUUAUACUGUGGUCUAAACAGGGAAGGGGGGAGUUUAGCUGAAGCAAUUUUACAGAAGCAGAAGAGGCAAAAAGUUAAAAAAAAUUGGUUAUAGACGCAGUUACAAAAAAUAGUUCCAGGUGCAGGGGCUUAAACUAUCACUAAGAGAGAAACGCAGGGGCUUUUAAGUACCUUCCACCGAGCACAUUCCCGGGAGCUGCUGGUACAGCCUGCCUCAAUAUCUUACCAGCAGGUGUAUUCCUGGAUGUUCUUGGAGUCAGCUUACACUAGUUAUUCCCUUAAGGGGGAUAAAGGGGGCUGCAAGUGAAGAAACUAAAAUGGAGUCUGUCCGGCUCUCUCUGCUAGGAGAGAGUCACUCAGAUUAAAACAAGGUAGGGUAUCACAAAUGAUUCACUUAGACGGGAAGUCUGUCCUCCUAAAAGUAGCUAAGCACAGAGAGAAACAUUCCCUGUUCAGCUGGCUGAGACUUCCGCUGAUUAAAAAAAAAAAAAAAAACCCCUGCCCCAUAAAUCUCCCCACUGAAACCGGUCUACUCCUUCCUAUGAAAGUAAAAGACACCCCCGCCCCGCCCCGGUUACCCCAACAGUGUGAUUUCCACUUCUGGGGCGCUCUCCCUAUGGCAGUAGCCUGAAUAAUUUCAAUGUAUUGGAUUGUUUGGUUUCUGUCUUUACCAAGGUGCAUUUAUCAUUCAUGCAAAAACAGUAAAAAAAAAAAAAAAAAAAGAAAAAGAAAAAUGAAACAGCACGUGUCGGUUCUCAGGGGCGCGCCCUAGCUCAAAACUCCCAGCCAAUCACAGGAGAAGUCGGCCACCUCCCAACUCUCCAGCCCAGUUCCUACGUCCCUCGCCCGGGAAGUCACGUCCGCUAAAGGGAGUCUCUUCCCAUGGCCUCCGGAAGCAUUCGGCAGUCCACGAGCCACACUUCAGAGAGGGCCGCUCCGGGAACGCCGCGGCGCACCUCCGGAAGGGAUGACCUCCACGCUUUCUCCCCUCGCAGCCCACCCGAGCGGCGUGGGUCGCGAGAAGCCACGCAACCGCUCCGGCGGUCCGCGGCAGCCAAAGGUUCAGUUUCUCAGCGGCGUCGCAUCCCUGUGACGCCAGCUCAACCCCGCCUACGCCCCCUUCCGCGCUGCGGCACCUCUAGUCCGCCGGAGGGCGGUUCCUCUCGAUGGUCUUAACCCUUCAAUUACGAGCGGGCGGCGCUGCGUUUCCAGGGCAGAGGAAACUAGGCGCCGCGCUGGCGCCUGGACGGCGGGAACCGGCUCUGGAGCGAGAACGCGCGUGAGAGAGCCCGAGAGAGACCGAGAGCGAGCGAGCGCGCGGGAGAGACUGAGAACGGGGGCUGGGAGAGAGACUUCCAGAGAGACAGAGCGAGAGGCCGAGACCGAGGCUGUCCCUAGCACAGGCCAGGGUGUCUUGGGACUCGAAUCCCUGGGUUGGGCUGGCCGACAGUGGGGCUUUCGAAGGAAGCGGGUGAUUUUCCACGUCGUCCAUAUCUCCCUGGUGUGGGAAUGGCGGUCGUGCGCUCUGGGGGUGGCGUUGUUCUCGUUCCCUACUUGGGGGUGGCCUUUUUCAGCAGAGAAAGGGGAUGUCGCGGGCAUUGGUAGCCGGCGGGACUACACUUGGGCUAGGAUCAGUGUUCAGUGGGUUCAGAAAUCACCGUGUCCUUAGCAUCACCUCCCUCCCCACCUCCUCUCCCAUCGCACAGCAGGAGACAGUGACUGGAGGGUUUUCAAGGAGGACUGCAUUGCCCCUAUUGAAACAAACCGUCCGACAAGCCCUUUCUCCGACGUGUGACAGAGGGACGGUCGUAAUGUGAAAUACGACUAGACAUGCGUUUAAUGGGCGGUGUGAUUGCUGCAUUCGUGCCCAAUGACUGGUCCAGGCCAUUUGUGUCCAGUAGCCGCACAAGCUGCAGGGUCUCAUGUUUAGAGAAGGAGGGCCUCCACGCCGUCUACCUUGCUGGAGUACAGGCGACCCUGGGCGGUAGCCCUCUGCGCCAUCAGAAAUGUGGUGAUCUGAGUAGCCACAGAUUUCCAUCUGCAUCUCCAAUACCAUUUCCCUCUACUCACUGACCCGUUGGGUGCGUUGGAUUUGUGCGUGGGUGUGAGGGUAGGUUGGUGUGUUUGCUCGCAAAUGGAAAAGUGAAUGGCCUUCCUUGGCUGAGCUUAUCAGGGCUCUAGCAGUGGAGAGAGAAAGGACUACUGUAUUCUUAGGAGCAGAAUCUCAACAACUUCCUGUAAAACGGGCAGUGUGUCUUACCUGGAAUGCUUUGGCAUUUAAUAAAAUGCCCUGUGAAUACUUUCCAUAGGGAAGCACUAUUUUUACUGUUUCAUAGGGAACCACUGUUUCUGGUUGGACAGUGGUUACAUUUCAAAUCGUAGUUCAGAAUUCGUGAAAUACCCAAAUUAAAUAUCUACAUGGCAGUAAUUCAUUUUCUUUCCUUAGUGUGUGGUUGGAAGAUUAAUUUGAGAUAAAUGUUCAGUUCUGGGCUGGGCAAUCGUGCCGGGCACGGGAAAUUUAGGUUCUUUAAGGGAAAGGCCUGAUGUGCUAAAAUGAAAUCUAAGCCAUAUUUAGCCGCUUAUGAGAAUAUGAAGGUAAGGAGAGCCACAGGUAAGUAUAUGUCUGUGAAUGCGAAUUAAAACGGGUGACAAUAUAAAGAGAGAUUGGUGUCACAAAUAGUGAAGUGGCUUUUGUAUUUCAGCAGACCUCAGUGAGAAUUGGUCACCACCACUCCCUAGGUGUGUGACCUUGAGUGAGUUGCUUAACCUCUCUGAUCCUAUUACCUCAUCUGCAACUGGGGAUGAGAAUAUAUAUCAUAGCAAGCCCUGGGAGAAGCUGUUCCUGGCCACCUGGGCUAUGGUGGUUUUGACUUCUUCUGUGUCAGAAGUACCCCCGUCUCAUGCCUGCCAUAGUUGUCUUUUUGUUUUGUUUUGUUUUGGGGGAUGGUCUCACCUGUCACCCAGGCCGGAUUGCACUGGCCUCAACCUCCUGAGUUCAAGUGAUCGUCCUACCUCAGCCUCCCUAGUAGCUGGUACCCCAGGUAUGCAGCAUCAUGCCUGGCUAAAUUUUAACAAUUUUUUGUGGAGACGGUGAUCUCGCCCUGUUGUUCAGGCUGGUCUCAAACUCCUGGGCUCAAACAGUCCUCCCGCCUCAGCCUCCAAAAGUGCUUGGAUUAGAGGCGUGAGCCACCAUUCCUGGCUCCUUGGACAAUAUUUUAUUCCUCAGACUGAGAUGUCUCCUUGGGAUGGGGCUGCAUUGGAUAAUUCACUGAAGGCACCGCUGAAUGGAGUGGGCCCUCAGUAAAUACCUGGAGGAAUGUGACCUGGCCAGUGAGGUUAUUUUCUUUUGUAGGUGAAAGGUGUAGCAGUCACUCGGCCUAUACCCACAGCAUCGACCUCGUGAAUCCAGCGACCUGACUGCCUUGGGAGAAUUGAAGCGAAUGAGAGUGGGGAGUGUGAGAGGUGCGUUCGGUGCAGCAUUUCUGGCAUGGGAACAGAACUGGCCAGGAGGAAGUGACGUCUGGGUUCUGCCCGCACACAUUCCUCGCUACCUUCUUGGUGUCUGAGAACCUCCAGCUUCAUCUCCUUUUCUGGACCCGAGGGCCUGGCGGAGCUUCCAGCUGGGACCAGACCUCCAUGGAUCCACUCCAGAAACGGAAUCCAGCAUCGCCUUCCAAAUCUUCCCUGAUGACAGCUGCAGAGACUUCCCAGGAAGGUCCAGCGCCCUCUCAGCCUUCGUACUCAGAACAGCCGAUGAUGGGCCUCAGUAACCUGAGCCCCGGUCCUGGCCCCAGCCAGGCCGUGCCUCUCCCAGAGGGGCUGCUCCGCCAGCGGUACAGAGAGGAGAAGACGCUGGAAGAGCGGCGGUGGGAGAGGCUGGAGUUCCUUCAGAGGAAGAAAGCAUUCCUGCGGCAUGUGAGGAGGAGACACCGCGAUCACAUGGCCCCCUAUGCUGUUGGGAGGGAAGCCAGAAUCUCCCCGUUAGGUGACAGAAGUCAGAAUCGAUUCCGAUGUGAAUGUCGAUACUGCCAGAGCCACAGGCCGAAUCUUUCUGGGAUCCCUGGGGAGAGUAACAGGGCCCCACAUCCCUCCUCCUGGGAGACACUGGUGCAGGGCCUCAGUGGCUUGACUCUCAGCCUAGGCACCAACCAGCCUGGGCCUCUGCCUGAAGCGGCACUCCAACCACAGGAGACAGAGGAGAAGCGCCAGCGAGAGAGGCAGCAGGAGAGCAAAAUAAUGUUUCAGAGGCUGCUCAAGCAGUGGUUAGAGGAAAACUGAGACGUGCACCCACAUGGGAUGGAGACCCAAAGGGACUCAGACGGAGCCGCCGUGUUGGCAGCGCCUGGGUGUGGGCCCAUUUUGGGGACCAAACAGCAAGCUGUGGUCGGAUGAGUGCCAGGACCUGUGUAGCGGGACACGUGGGAAUCCUCCAGCAUGAUGAUGCUUGACCGACCCGAGGAAGGUCCUCAUCUUUCGUGCCUGUCAUUCUCGGAUGGCUGUGAGACAUUCCUUGGCAAGGGACGCUGCGUACCAGCGGUCCUUGCCGCAUCUCACAUGGCUCCUGUGAUGCAUGUUGUCGCUUUCCCACCCGGGAUCUCCAUCUCUCUUCCCUUCCUGCUGUCAGUAAGAGAUCACAUGUCUGUGUAGUGUGAAUGCCUUGUCGCUGUCCCGUGCUUUUGCACCAUUGGGUCGACUGCCUCUGAGAAGCAGCACUAGGCCUGUUGAAAUGCAAUGUGCUGCCCUGAGAUCCAGUUUCAAGAAUGGGCAGCUAAACACAGUGUGGGAAAGGAAUGUGGAAUGAGAACUUGGUGGUUCACCGCUGUACUAUUUGCGUAAAUGUUUAUGUAUGUGAUAAGCUACAUGUAUGUAAAUGUUGCAAUACCCCUAACAGUCGAGUAGUAUUCUCCCUUACAGGAAUUUUUGACGGGGUUCCUUAUCAUCAAUACCAAAUAAAUAGAUGUAGGAAUGGAAAAUGGGUGUAGAAUUCAGGUUUGUUCCUCAGUAUUGGUUUGUUUCUCAAUAGAUCUGAGCUGGCUACCUUGAACUCUCCCAGCAGGGGAUCCGGGUUUAUUGAGGGAAGCUCUACGCUGUGGAGACUGGGAAUGGGGGAGGGAGGGCACCAGAGAACACAGCCCAGUCACUGUUUGAGCCCUGCAGCGGGACCAGCAUCCAGAUCAGCGAGGCAGGGCCGUGGCUUCGAAGAGAGGCUUCCUGUGCACAGGAGACGUGGAAGCAGAGUCUGCCGCCCACGAAUCCUGAGAUGUGAACCCAGCCAGUACCCGUGUGACUCCUCUGAACUGAAAACAAAUUCUGCUUUGUGUCAGUCUGUUUUAGGUAGUCCCCAGAGCUGUCUUGCUGCAAAAGUCUACGCAUCUCCUGCCGACAGAAGUGGCUUGAAAACAGGUAAGUGUCUUAGAUUCUGAUGCUGAGAUCUCAUGAGAGAGUCGACAGUUGAACUGACCUAGCUCCAGGGGAGAAGGGAAAAAAAAAGGAGGGCUAUUCCUUCUUGAAACACAAAGGCCUAAAUGGAGACCAGUGAAUCCGGGAGGGUUUCAGAGGGGUUCGGGUUUCAAAGGGGUUCGAGGCGUUGCCCUUUGGCUGAUGUUUCCUAGGGUUCUUCUGAUGGUAUUUUCCCCAUUUCCAUAUGUCAGCUGCCUUCCUCCACUCCCACACACCCAUCCUCUAGCAACAUUUUCAGUUCCGCUUUAUGAAUUUCGAAAGCAGAACACCAGAGAAGUUAGGGAACUAGCCCACGGUGGCACAGGCAGUAAGAGGUAGAACUAGCACCCGAACCUAGGCAGGCUGGGAUCGGAGCUGGCCCCCCUUCAGCAGUUCACCUCUGUGAAGGCUGUGGGUGAAGUGCCUAGAGCCGGGCUUUGGUGCUCAUUUCAUAGCUGGUAGCACCAAGUCUUGGUGAGAUCCAUUGCUGAAUCCUCCACACAGUGCCAUGGGCCAGGUACAAUCAUCCCCACCUUGCGGAGAGUUUGUGCAGGUCCUAAAGUGGUGGCCAGAGAUGCAUGCCUUUGUCUCACUCCCCAACCACUCAAAUGCUCUCUGCGGACCUUCUCAGUCAGCCCAGCAAGCACACCAGGUCCGUGCUGCCAGUGACAGUCAUCAUUUCAGCAAUCAUCAGGGUUUCCAUUUUCUCACCUUGCCUCUCUCCCUCCUGGGCUACUUCGACUGUCGUGGUGGGGAGGUGAGGAGGAGUUGCAGAGGUAGCCCUGCUCCGGGGGAUUGAGCGAUUCAUCAGGGAGAGAGAUCCGACCCCAUCUUAGUCUGUGUCCUUCCACUAUAUCGUGAAAUACAACAGGCUGGGUGCUCUGGAUUGGAUACGGUGUGUUUAUUCCCACCAAGAGUCAGGUUGAAGUUGAAUCCUCAGUGCUGCAGUGUUGGGAGGUGGGUCCUAGUGGGAGGUGUUUGGGUCGUGGUGGGGAUCCCUCAUGAAUGAGUCAGUGUCCUGUGAUGCCAUCCUGCUGGGCUGAGUUCUUACUCUCACAGGUAUGGAUUAGUUCGCAGGAGAGUGGAUUGUUCACAGGAUUCUGGCCUCCCUGGAUUCUCUCUCCCUUCCUUCUUUCCAUGUGAUGUCGUUGCACAUGCCGGCUCCCCUUCCACUUUGCACCAUGAGUUGAAGCCGCCCGAGGCCCUCACCAGAUGCAAUUGCCCAAAAAUGAAUGUUUCAGCCACCAGAAUUGUGAGCCAGAUAAACCAACUUUUUCUUUUUAAAAGAUUUAUUUAUUUUAAUUUUUUUUUAAGAGACAGGGUGAUGCUCUGUUGCCGACGAGAGUGGAGUGACACGAU